Molecule: long non-coding RNA, 1051 nt
Filed under: Fukomys damarensis (Damara mole-rat)
Lineage: Eukaryota; Metazoa; Chordata; Mammalia; Rodentia; Bathyergidae
Description: lncRNA (ENSFDAG00000028053.1)
Source: RNAcentral
AUUCUUAUAAUAAAAAUUCUUUCCAAAUUUUCUAACGUUUUUAUUUACAGAUUGUGAGCUUCCUGACUAUUAUUGGUAAUUCGAUGAGCCUUGUUAAUAUUUACAGCUACAAGUUUCUAAAGUAUUGUACUAUGGUGGAGAAGGCCAAAGCCCUAAGCAUGAAUAUAUCAUCUAUGGGAGAAUUAACUUCAGCACAGUUUAAUACUAUACUGCAUAAAUUCAAAAACUACUUUGGACAUAUUGUGACUAUGGCUAUUGAGAAACGCAUUGGCAUUUUCAGUGUUUUAAGUUUUGAUUAUCAGUCAGAAUGCUUACUGUAUAUCGAUAACAUCAUACAUAUGAGCCAGGACCUCUUGCUGCAUAUAACUGAGGGAAAAAAUACAAGCCUACUGGAAAUAAGAACUCCUGUUCUGCUGUGUACCAACACCAUUGUGCCAACAGCAAAGGAGAUGAUCCAGACUCUCUCUGAGGAGGCUGCCAGCCUGGCUCACAAAGCUAGAAUGUAUGCAAACUACCAGGAUCAUUUCAGUGACGCCCAGGCUCAUAUGCGUUCUCUCAAUGUGGAAGAAAUCACACAGAUUAUGCUCUCAGAGAUCUCUGACAUUGACUGUGAGUUAACUUUGAGGAAAAUACUGUGGGAAAGCACAGGAGGAAUGGGGCACGCUCUUCCGGGAGUGGAGGAACUGUUCUCUUCAGAGUAUUGACGUAGACUUAGUGCAAAGAAAUGUUUCCAAAUGGCUGCAUACAAUCUUUGUACUAGAAAAAGGUAAGAGUAUGUUUCUCAAACUCUUCUCCCCACCUGGGGUCACACACCUGGGGUCUCUGGGAAGCAGGUUCACCGUCCAUGUUGAAGCUGCUGGACCUGUUCUCGGGCCUGAGUGUUGUGGCCAGAGAUACUGAGAUACAAGGGUGCAAGAGCCUAGGUAGGAACUGAGAUUAGAGCUUCGCCCUCCUCCCCCAGUUAAAUAGUUAAAACAAUUUUGUAAUCUUUAAAAGUUGGCUCCUGAAUUUUCUUAGAGUUUUGGACAGAGAUGCUUUGAUGAUAGCGGCU